Molecule: ribosomal RNA, 429 nt
Filed under: Bacteroidota bacterium
Lineage: Bacteria; Pseudomonadati; Bacteroidota
Description: Bacteroidetes bacterium partial 16S ribosomal RNA
Rfam family: Bacterial small subunit ribosomal RNA
Source: RNAcentral
UAGGGAAUCUUCCGCAAUGGGCGAAAGCCUGACGGAGCAACGCCGCGUGAGUGAUGAAGGUCUUCGGAUCGUAAAACUCUGUUAUUAGGGAAGAACAAAUGUGUAAGUAACUAUGCACGUCUUGACGGUACCUAAUCAGAAAGCCACGGCUAACUACGUGCCAGCAGCCGCGGUAAUACGUAGGUGGCAAGCGUUAUUCGGAAUUAUUGGGCGUAAAGCGCGCGUAGGCGGUUUUUUAAGUCUGAUGUGAAAGCCCACGGCUCAACCGUGGAGGGUCAUUGGAAACUGGAAAACUUGAGUGCAGAAGAGGAAAGUGGAAUUCCAUGUGUAGCGGUGAAAUGCGCAGAGAUAUGGAGGAACACCAGUGGCGAAGGCGACUCUCUGGUCUGUAACUGACGCUGAGGCUCGAAAGCGUGGGUAGCAAACAGG